This 341-nucleotide unclassified non-coding RNA is filed under the name Zea mays. Its description in RNAcentral is "misc RNA Zm00001eb275360". The record is from RNAcentral. Lineage: Eukaryota; Viridiplantae; Streptophyta; Magnoliopsida; Poales; Poaceae.
AACAAUUCUGCCAAAGUACUGGGAGGGGGGUUGACUACCUCUUACCUUCUUCAUAGUAGUAGAGAUAUCAGAAAAGAGGUUGCAUUAAAGCGCUGUGAAAUCUAUGAGAAGUUUAGUGCCAGCCUACGCAAAGAUGGCGAGCAGAUGGCAUCGAGUAUCAACAAAAGUACACUUGUUUUUUAUUGGAAAAACAAAAGCACAUCUGUUGACAGGGACCAAACUGAAUGUGACCAUAGCGGAAAAGCGAAUGAAAAUAGUGACCUGUUGACUGCCCAUGACACCCAAAAUGUCAGCACACCAAAUCAGGACAGGAUGAAACAAAUAGAGCUAGAAAAAACUGU